AAUUUCACCGUCGACUGUUUGUAUUUUGGCUUGUUCUCGACGUAGAAGCAUCGGAUUGUGACGAGACUUGGCUCGUUGGAUUCAGGACUGCGAGAGGAAUCCACGAAGCCCUUACUUGCUGGAUUUGGUGAAGAGCUCGAGCUUAGGCGAUCUCUGUACUCGGCGGGUUCCGGGUGAUCCAGCGGGUUGCUCUACACCGGGGGAAGUCCUUCGCUGCCAGGGAUUAGCAUUUUAGAGCCACAGGUUCCGGCUGCUGCACCGUCUGCGGAUCAGGAUCAAGGCAAGGACGUCGCGAGUUAGAGCCCUACCCGACGUGCUGAGCUAGAGGUGCCCUACUGCAGG
This is a long non-coding RNA of Ananas comosus (pineapple), 342 nucleotides long. RefSeq lists it as uncharacterized. The transcript has 3 exons. The record is from RefSeq and is a predicted model, not a curated record. Lineage: Eukaryota; Viridiplantae; Streptophyta; Magnoliopsida; Poales; Bromeliaceae.